RNAcentral lists this ribosomal RNA (646 nucleotides) under uncultured bacterium. RNAcentral describes it as "bacterial SSU rRNA". It matches the Rfam family "Bacterial small subunit ribosomal RNA", at positions 91 to 772 of the family's 1533-position model. The record is from RNAcentral.
CUUAGUGGCGAACGGGUGAGUAACGCGUGGGUACCUGCCUUGUACAGGGGGAUAACAGUUGGAAACGGCUGCUAAUACCGCAUAAGAUCGCAUGAUAAAAACUCCGGUGGUAUAAGAUGGACCCGCGUUGGAUUAGCUAGUUGGUGAGGUAACGGCCCACCAAGGCGACGAUCCAUAGCCGACCUGAGAGGGUGACCGGCCACAUUGGGACUGAGACACGGCCCAAACUCCUACGGGAGGCAGCAGUGGGGAAUAUUGCACAAUGGGCGAAAGCCUGAUGCAGCGACGCCGCGUGAGCGAAGAAGUAUUUCGGUAUGUAAAGCUCUAUCAGCAGGGAAGAUAAUGACGGUACCUGACUAAGAAGCACCGGCUAAAUACGUGCCAGCAGCCGCGGUAAUACGUAUGGUGCAAGCGUUAUCCGGAUUUACUGGGUGUAAAGGGAGCGCAGGCGGUGCGGCAAGUCUGAUGUGAAAGCCCGGGGCUCAACCCCGGUACUGCAUUGGAAACUGUCGUACUAGAGUGUCGGAGGGGUAAGCGGAAUUCCUAGUGUAGCGGUGAAAUGCGUAGAUAUUAGGAGGAACACCAGUGGCGAAGGCGGCUUACUGGACGAUAACUGACGCUGAGGCUCGAAAGCGUGGGGAGCAAA